GGACUAUAAAAUAUUGCACAAAGAAAUCUGAAGUUCAAGAAGACCUAAAGAAAUGGAGAAAUAUGUUCAUGGACUGUUGGAAGAAUGUCGUUGCUCCUCUCCAAGACCAUGGACUCCAUAUGCUGCAGAUACCAUCUCCUCUCAUCUUACCAAGAACUGGACUCCUGAGAAGUUCUGUCCCAUCUGCCACCAGCAAAUCCUCCUCUGAAUCAGAUCAUUUCACUUGCCUCUAUCAUCUCCUGUCAUUUCAAACCCCUCCUUGACCUCAUGUGCACAUCCAGCUACUGUGUUUC
This 293-nucleotide long non-coding RNA is filed under the name Mustela putorius furo (domestic ferret). RNAcentral describes it as "lncRNA (ENSMPUG00000026727.1)". Lineage: Eukaryota; Metazoa; Chordata; Mammalia; Carnivora; Mustelidae. The record is from RNAcentral.